CGCCUAACCUUUAUAGAUUUUGUCCUAUGAAGUAUGGUUAAAACCCAUCCCUGGUAUUAAACUCCUCGUCAGACCACUCAGGGAUGGGUCUAUAAUCGAAAGGUUAUAGGAUAGUCGAAAGGCUGUC
This 127-nucleotide small RNA is filed under the name unclassified sequences. RNAcentral's name for it is "LOOT RNA". It matches the Rfam family "LOOT RNA". Rfam says of the family: Latescibacteria, OD1/Parcubacteria, OP11, TM7. Lineage (Microgenomates, aka OP11) The record is from Rfam by way of RNAcentral.